CAUCAUAGGAAACUUUGAUGUCCCCUUGAAAUAACUGUCUACUGCAAUAUAGUAUAUAGAAAAAGUGCAAAAGGGGUACAGCUGGAGGAGAAGGGGAGAAAGAUUAUGAACUCCAGGUGUUUGUGGUCCUAGGAGGAAAAAUUCCCUUCCUCCCGCCAACCUUGCUCACCCUCUUAUGCUAGCUAGUAAUAGCUGAAAGUUACUCAAGACAAAUGGUCACAAACCCCAACUGCUCUGCUGUCACACACUUCCCACCAACAAGCCUCCCAUGGCUGCCCCACAACCUUUCUGGGUUGGCUUUCUGGAUCAAGGCUCAAGGGGCAGCUUGCAAGAGAAGUUGGGGGAUGAGGAACUCCACUAGCUUUCCUUGUGGCUUCUGAGUUAGGCUGCCCUGAGUGUCACUUGCAGAGCGUGGACAGAGAAAAAGCAACCUAAGUCCAGCCUCUAAGGUACAGCCUGGAUGUAACAUCGCUCCCCAGAACCAAAUCAGUGCUAUUUAUCAAAGUGCCUAGGAGACAAGAACAUCCAAUGCCAGAAAAACGAAAAUCUAGCUGACCCCCUUCUGAGAAAACAUAGCAAAUCCAUUUCAUACGAACUAACAAACUUUUAGUCAAACCACACAAGAGGAGGACCCAUACACUCCUGCCUAGCAGGAGGUAGCGGCGGCGCCCAGAAGUGCCAGUGCCCAGAAGUGCCAAAACUGGCCGUAGGGGUGAGGGGAGGAAAGUUGCAAGUAGAGAGACAGCAGCCACUGACUUGAGAGGUUGGUCACAGCAGCAGCUGAAAAGCCACAGGCCGGAUGGUCUCCAAGGCCUAAUACGAUCACGGGUGAUAAAAUCACGGGGUGAAACAACAUGUGCUGCUGGCUCCCUCACAGAAAAAAAAUCUGGGAGAAACUAAAGAAGCAAGAGGGAAGCAUGGUUUCCAAAAUCUAACAACAAUUACCAUGAAACAACAAAAAUCAUGCAUGAAAAACUCCAUGGAAA
This is a long non-coding RNA of Sus scrofa (pig), 986 nucleotides long. RefSeq lists it as uncharacterized. The record is from RefSeq and is a predicted model, not a curated record. Lineage: Eukaryota; Metazoa; Chordata; Mammalia; Artiodactyla; Suidae.